AAAGAAGAGAUGGAAAAUAUGCGACUAUGAAAAUAAUCUUUACACAGUUUUUCAAGAAGAGUAAGUACAGAAGUGGGUCGUAAAAGUCCCCAUGCAACAGCUCCUGGAGCUGUAUUUGCUUUUACAUAUUUUCUGGGUAAAUAGGAAUCUAGGGAGGCCGUCUCCCACCUGGAAAAGCCCAGACCUGCAGAGUAAUGACCUAUGACUACCUAGUGAUGACCCAAUGAUGACCCAUACCUGCUUCUAGCUCAUAAAUCUUCUACUUGGGAUAUAACAUUUCAGGAAGUGUUUCAACCAAUACAAAAUUAGUUACAAAAAAGCUAGUUCAAUGGUUUAGAAUGACAAAAAAAAAUCCUGAAAUGCAGGAUGAGUCAUUGGAAUACUUUUUAUCAUCUUCCAGGAGAUACUAUAAAAGUACACCUAGAAAUCUACUUUUUGUCUGCAGCUGGGGCACAUAAUGGUCUGCAGGGGAUAUGUAAUGCAACAUAUAUCACAUGAAAAACAUUUGAAUACAAAUUAGAUUUCAUGGGGUCUUUAAAUUGUGUUUUUCAUUUAAUGCAAAAAAGCACCUUGCUGCUGCAACGUUUUUCUCUGUGUUGGAUUAUGGAGAAGUUUUACACAUGAAUGCUUCUGCUCAAUGUCCUCUAAUGGUUGACACUGUUUGCUAUGCUUUUCUGAGGUUUAUUACCAACUGUAAAGCGUCGACUCACCACUGUGAGUUGCACUCUCAGGUAGGAUGUCCUGCUCUGGACACCAGAAGGAUUAGCCAUUGAUACAUGUUUAUAUAUUAGGCAAUACUUGACCUCCUGCCUGUCUACAUUUGUGCACUGACUGUGAUGAGAAGUUGUGAUAUUUAUUUGCUUCGCACAAAUCAUAUAUUGCUUUCUGUUCCAUUCGCCUGUAGAGAACUGGGUCAAAAGGCUUUUGUUUACUCUGCACUUUGUGCAUGGAAUCAGCUGCAGAAAGACGGGAAACUGAGUUAAUUUCUUUGAGAGCUUUUAAGUCCAAACAGAGUUUUUGAGGCUGAUUCCAUGACCUGCACUACUUUUUCUUAAUCUGCUUGUAAAUAUUAUUUUUACUAACCAUUGUCAAAUGUGUCUGUCCUAUGUGUUUUAACUGUGUAAUCUUGUAACUGUGUGUUGUAUUUGCUGCUGCCUAUCUCGGCCAGGACUCCUUUGUAAAAGAGGCUCUUAAUUUCAAUGGGAUUUUCCUGGUUAAAUAAAAAAUACAAAUAAAAGAAUAACACAGAAAAAAAAUGUUA
Molecule: long non-coding RNA, 1261 nt
Organism: Sphaeramia orbicularis (orbiculate cardinalfish)
Lineage: Eukaryota; Metazoa; Chordata; Actinopteri; Kurtiformes; Apogonidae
Exons: 3
Source: RefSeq, a predicted model, not a curated record